CCCUCGCAAACCACAUCUCAGCCUUCUCUAAAUAACUAGCUUGUCACCCAAACAGGAGUGUUAAUGUAGGUCCUACGACAACCGUCUGAUUUAUUGUCCGAUUCGCUCAAGACGACGACAACAAAAGGCUGAUGUUUCUUUUUUCCCUUACACCCAAUUUAGCAGCCACCCGUUUAAGUGGCAUUGUCCUGAACAGCAUGGCAAGCAAAGAGAUGUGGGCCGUCUGCUUCUUGUCACUUCCUAUUAUUAAGAAGGCGCUCCGUGGCACCUGGGGGAAUGCCAGUCUCCGCUGUUCCCAUCAGAAAUCUGCAUAACGCUGCCUGAUGGCUGUGGCCGUCCAAACGUCCAAACACAACCUGUCAUGUCUCAAUGUUACCCAGUAUGCCAUGAGCAGCGCUGGGCCUGGGGACGCUUUCCAGCGCCCUAACACUCGAUGUCUCCGUCAACCACACUAAUCCAGCUCUACAAAUCAGAGAAGUCACCAGGCAUAUUUUUACUGCCAGGCCAAGCACAACAGCCUCUCGCCACUACCGCCAGUCUAAACAGGAAACUGUACGCAGUUUCAGCAGUGGUCCGUUUGUCACAUUAUAUGGGAUUACAUCCUGCCAGACUUUUUACAAUCCAUUAGAUCCUGGAGGUACAUCAGAGAGAAACGGAGCUGGAGUGGAAUUCCAGUCAGACGCAGGUGUCAGGAUCAAAAGUUGAAAACAUUCUCUGAGCAGCAGGAGGGGGUGGCAUGCUUGUUAGACUUGAAAAAUAACAAUUAGCAUCCACCAUGUGACAUGGCUCAUCAUAACAUUGCCAUAGUUGUCUUGAAGGUUCCACCAGUAUGUUCUUUAAGAGCUUUGGCUGAUGGCUGGUAGUGGCCUUGGGUACUUCAGGUCUGGCCGUCGACCAAGUGGGUCAUCAAUAGGAACAGAAGAGUUUUAGCACAGUUCAUCUGGUAGGGUCAGAUGGAUCAUCUCUGGUGUGUUUUACAUAUGUCUACUCCAUCAACUGUCCACCGAGAUCAGUGCCACUCUUUUUAUCCUUGUCCAAACCAAACUAGCGUCUUUUAACCAAGCCCCCCGAUAAUAAGAUUGAUGUUCAUUUAACCAUCAAACGUUUGGCUAAAUACUUUGA
Long non-coding RNA from Megalobrama amblycephala (Wuchang bream), 1122 nucleotides. RefSeq lists it as uncharacterized. The record is from RefSeq and is a predicted model, not a curated record. Lineage: Eukaryota; Metazoa; Chordata; Actinopteri; Cypriniformes; Xenocyprididae. The transcript has 3 exons.